AAUGGGCGCAAGCCUGACCCAGCAACGCCGCGUGAAGGAAGACGGUCUUCGGAUUGUAAACUUCUUUUGUCAGGGACGAAUAAUGACGGUACCUGGCGAAUAAGCCACGGCUAACUACGUGCCAGCAGCCGCGGUAAUACGUAGGUGGCAAGCUUUGUCCGGAUUUACUGGGUGUAAAGGGCGAGUAGGCGGAUUUGCAAGUCAGGUGUGAAAGCCCGGGGCUUAACGCCGUGUCUGAAUUUGAAACUGCGGAUCUUGAGUAUCGGAGAGGCAGGCGGAAUUCCCGGUGUAGCGGUGGAAUGCGUAGAUAUCGGGAGGAACACCAGUGGCGAAGGCGGCCUGCUGGACGACAACUGACGCUGAGGAGCGAAAGCGUGGGGAGCAAA
RNAcentral lists this ribosomal RNA (386 nucleotides) under uncultured bacterium. RNAcentral describes it as "bacterial SSU rRNA". It matches the Rfam family "Bacterial small subunit ribosomal RNA", at positions 370 to 772 of the family's 1533-position model. The record is from RNAcentral.